UGCAGUCUAGCAAAUAUGGAAAAAUGGAUGAUGAGAUGAUGAAUGUCUAUUAUUUUCAUCAUCAGGCUGACGAACUUCUGGGCACCGCCAGUGAACAGUUCCUGGGCAAGAGCGUUAGCGAAAUUAAACAGACGAUCCUGCAGAC
This is a long non-coding RNA of Musca vetustissima, 145 nucleotides long. RefSeq lists it as uncharacterized. NCBI's taxonomy places the organism in Eukaryota, Metazoa, Arthropoda, Insecta, Diptera, Muscidae. The transcript is spliced from 2 exons. The record is from RefSeq and is a predicted model, not a curated record.